GACGUAGGGCGCGAGCGUUGUCCGGAUUUAUUGGGCGUAAAGAGCUCGUAGGCGGUCUGUCGCGUCGAUCGUGAAAACUUGGGGCUUAACCCUGAGCUUGCGGUCGAUACGGGCAUGACUGGAGUUCGGCAGGGGAGACUGGAAUUCCUGGUGUAGCGGUGAAAUGCGCAGAUAUCAGGAGGAACACCGGUGGCGAAGGCGGGUCUCUGGGCCGAUACUGACGCUGAGACGCGAAAGCGUGGGGAGCAAACAGG
Molecule: ribosomal RNA, 254 nt
Filed under: uncultured bacterium
Lineage: Bacteria
Description: partial 16S ribosomal RNA
Rfam family: Bacterial small subunit ribosomal RNA
Source: RNAcentral